Molecule: ribosomal RNA, 440 nt
Filed under: uncultured bacterium
Lineage: Bacteria
Description: partial 16S ribosomal RNA
Rfam family: Bacterial small subunit ribosomal RNA
Source: RNAcentral
CCUACGGGUGGCAGCAGUGGGGGAUAUUGCACAAUGGGGGAAACCCUGAUGCAGCGACGCCGCGUGUGGGAAGACGGUCCUCUGGAUUGUAAACCACUGUCCCCAGGGACGAAGAUGACGGUACCUGGGGAGGAAGCUCCGGCUAACUACGUGCCAGCAGCCGCGGUAAUACGUAGGGAGCGAGCGUUGUCCGGAAUUACUGGGUGUAAAGGGAGCGUAGGCGGGGAUGCAAGUUGGGUGUCAAAACUACCGGCUCAACUGGGAGUCGCACUCAAAACUGCAGCCCUUGAGUGAAGUAGAGGCAGGCGGAAUGCGUAGUGUAGCGGUGAAAUGCGUAGAUAUUAGGAGGAACCCCAGUGGCGAAGGCGGCCUGCUGGGGUCUUACUGACGCUGAGGCUCGAAAGUGUGGGGAGCAAACAGGAUUAGAUACCCUAGUAGUC